This is a long non-coding RNA of Lolium perenne, 902 nucleotides long. RefSeq lists it as uncharacterized. NCBI's taxonomy places the organism in Eukaryota, Viridiplantae, Streptophyta, Magnoliopsida, Poales, Poaceae. The record is from RefSeq and is a predicted model, not a curated record.
CCAAAGGAAACAUGCCGCUCGCCUCCUCAAUCCCCAUUCUUCUCGUUUCUACCCACCGCCCCGUCUUGUUCGCCGCCGGCAAACCCACCCUCGCCGCUCGCCGGCGCCCCCAGCCACCCAGUCCCCUCCACGCCGGUCACCCCACCUACUCAAUCCCCUCCGCCCGCAGAUCGGCCCACCUGAUUCCCCGCGCCUCCGCAAAACCUUAGAGCAUCGAGGACCUCCGCCCGGUCCUGGCCCUCACCGUUCGGAGCAAGGAGCGGCUGGAGCUGGGCGGACGAAGACGCACACGAGGAGGAGGGGACGACCUCUUCUCUUCACCGCCUCUGCCCCCACCAGUAGUCCUCGCCCAUGGCCAUGGCCCCAUCCGCCGUUCUGCUGCGCCGAGCUCCUACUCCCGGUGGCCACGAGGUCCGGUAUGAUCAGGCGGCAAACGCUCCAAGGUCCAAGAUGAGUAAGCACAAGGGAGCUCACCUUCUGAGUCCAUACCGCUUUCGGAGCAAUGCUGGAGCUGGGUCAAGAGAGCAAGCGUUGCUGGUUCGAGGCUGAGUCUUGAGUGUGACCUACCUGGGAGAAGUAAGGCAUCGCUAGGUAUCGACGUAUCGUUUCGCGCGUGCCGUGGUGUGCCACCGAUGCGACAAAGAAGCUGACCUGUUGCUGCUCUCCUCCGAUGAUAAUGGCAACAAUGUGUUGUUGCUAACCGGCCAACCUACUGUUGGAUUGAGUUACACAUUAAAGGCAGUGACAUCUGCUCCUGCUGCUGGCUAUGUCCCUCACAUGCUGCCACAGCCAGCCAGCCACUACUCUGACAUGCCGUUGAGCUACCUAUGGCUGCGGCUUCUUGUGCUGCGGCCUACCGAAACCUGGGGCUUCUGGCUCGGCAUCGAUGAAAGAUGUGGGGG